Molecule: RNase P RNA, 389 nt
Filed under: Ruminiclostridium sufflavum DSM 19573
Lineage: Bacteria; Bacillati; Bacillota; Clostridia; Eubacteriales; Oscillospiraceae
Description: Bacterial RNase P class A
Rfam family: Bacterial RNase P class A
About the family: Ribonuclease P (RNase P) is a ubiquitous endoribonuclease, found in archaea, bacteria and eukarya as well as chloroplasts and mitochondria. Its best characterised activity is the generation of mature 5'-ends of tRNAs by cleaving the 5'-leader elements of precursor-tRNAs. Cellular RNase Ps are ribonucleoproteins.
Source: Rfam by way of RNAcentral
UGAGUAAGCCAGAUGAUCGCGGAUACAGCCUGAAAAGGCGUAGAUGAGGAAAGUCCGGGCUCCGCAGGGCAAGGGUGCCGGGUAACUCCCGGUGAAGGUGACUUCAAGGAAAGUGCAACAGAGAUAUACCGCCUUACUGGCGAUUUAAGCUGAAAAAAGGUUUUUCUUUCAGCUUAAAUCGCCAGUAAGGUAAGGAUGGAAAGGCGAGGUAAGAGCUCACCAGCGGCUUGGCGACUUGCCGGCUAUGUAAACCCCACCUGGAGCAACGCCGUGGAGGGACGCAAUGACUGCCCGUCAGUCCCGUGGAGGCGGCUUGAGCCAUACAGAAAUGUAAGGCCUAGAUAGAUGAUCGUCUAAUACAGAACCCGGCUUACAGACUUACUCAUUAA